Trichosurus vulpecula (common brushtail) is the source of this 107-nucleotide small nuclear RNA. The record is from RefSeq and is a predicted model, not a curated record. NCBI's taxonomy places the organism in Eukaryota, Metazoa, Chordata, Mammalia, Diprotodontia, Phalangeridae.
GUGCUCACUUCAGCAGCACAUAUACUAAAAUUGGAACAAUAGAGAGAAGAUUAGCCUGGUCCUUUCCCGAAGAUAACAUGCAAAUGCAUUAAGCAUUCCAUAUUUUU